CUUGAGAUUGAGAGACCAGUACAAGGAGGAAACGUAAAUGCACGAACCCUCCAGUGUCCAGCUUUGUUGAUGGUGGGUGAUAAUUCUCCAGCUGUGGAUGCUGUGGUUGACAGCAACUCCAGAAUGAACCUAACAACAACAACAUUUCUCAAGAUAACAUCCCUACCCACAACAAUUUGGGGAUUUUUCUUUCCAUUUGAGCAGUAUUAACCUCCGG
Molecule: long non-coding RNA, 217 nt
Filed under: Sinocyclocheilus anshuiensis
Lineage: Eukaryota; Metazoa; Chordata; Actinopteri; Cypriniformes; Cyprinidae
Description: lncRNA (ENSSANG00000013741.1)
Source: RNAcentral